AGUAACUGCGAGUGAAGCGGGAAAAGCUCAAAUUUAAAAUCUGGUGGUCUUUGGCCAUCCGAGUUGUAAUUUAGAGAAGCGUCUUCCGCGCUGGACCAUGCACAAGUCUCCUGGAAUGGAGCGUCAUAGAGGGUGAGAAUCCCGUCUUUGGCAUGGACCCCAGGGCUUCUGUGAUGCGCUCUCAAAGAGUCGAGUUGUUUGGGAAUGCAGCUCAAAAUGGGUGGUGAACUCCAUCUAAAGCUAAAUAUUGGCGAGAGACCGAUAGCGAACAAGUACCGUGAGGGAAAGAUGAAAAGCACUUUGGAAAGAGAGUGAAACAGUACGUGAAAUUGUUGAAAGGGAAACGCUUGAAGUCAGUCGCGUCGACCGAGACUCAGCCUUGCCUUGGCUUGGUGUACUUCUCGGCUGACGGGUCAGCAUCAAUUUCGAUCCUUGGAUAAUGGCAAGGGAAAGGUAGCACCUUUACAGGUGUGUUAUAGUCCUCUGUCGGAUGCAAGGGUUGGGAUUGAGGAACUCAGCACGCGCCUUGUCGGUGUCGGGGCCUUUUGGCCUACGUACGUGCUUAGGAUGCUGGCAUAAUGGCUUUAAACGACCCGUCUUGAAACACGGACCAAGGAGUCUAACAUGCACGCGAGUGUUCGGGUGGAAAACCCGUGCGCGUAAUGAAAGUAAAAGUUGGGACCUCUGUCGUGGAGGGCACCGACGCCCGGACCAGACCUUCUGUGACGGCUCUGCGGUAGAGCGUGUAUGUUGGGACCCGAAAGAUGGUGAACUAUGCCUGAAUAGGGUGAAGCCAGAGGAAACUCUGGUGGAGGCUCGUAGCGAUUCUGACGUGCAAAUCGAUCGUCAAAUUUGGGUAUAGGGGCGAAAGACUAAUCGAACCAU
Molecule: ribosomal RNA, 885 nt
Filed under: Russula sororia
Lineage: Eukaryota; Fungi; Basidiomycota; Agaricomycetes; Russulales; Russulaceae
Description: eukaryotic LSU rRNA
Rfam family: Eukaryotic large subunit ribosomal RNA
Source: RNAcentral